AUGCAGUUCUGGUCUCUCGAGGGCGCGGAGGAGGCGUUCGGCGACUUUGGCCGCAUCGAGCGCCUCGACAGCAGAACGAUGGAGCGGGGCCACACGAAGACCUUCGCUUGCUGGCUCUGGACCUGGGAUGUCGCGCACAUUCCGACAAAGCGUGCUCUCUGGGUCCUCAAGCGGGGGGCGGGCCGCGUCGACGAGAUCCUCGGCUACUCCCCGCCGGACCGCCGCAUCCCGCCUCCGCCGGGUGUGCGCCGCUACGACCUGCUGCUGCAUGUGGACCAUGUGGAGGACUGG
Molecule: ribosomal RNA, 291 nt
Filed under: Triticum aestivum (bread wheat)
Lineage: Eukaryota; Viridiplantae; Streptophyta; Magnoliopsida; Poales; Poaceae
Description: partial small subunit ribosomal RNA
Source: RNAcentral